Molecule: ribosomal RNA, 253 nt
Filed under: uncultured bacterium
Lineage: Bacteria
Description: partial 16S ribosomal RNA
Rfam family: Bacterial small subunit ribosomal RNA
Source: RNAcentral
UACGUAGGGUGCAAGCGUUGUCCGGAAUUAUUGGGCGUAAAGAGCUCGUAGGCGGUCUGUCGCGUCUGCUGUGAAAACUCAGGGCUUAACCCUGAGCUUGCAGUGGGUACGGGCAGACUAGAGUGCGGUAGGGGAGACUGGAAUUCCUGGUGUGGCGGUGAAAUGCGCAGAUAUCAGGAGGAACACCGGUGGCGAAGGCGGGUCUCUGGGCCGAAACUGACGCUGAGGAGCGAAAGCGUGGGGAGCGAACAGG